Molecule: long non-coding RNA, 534 nt
Organism: Austrofundulus limnaeus
Lineage: Eukaryota; Metazoa; Chordata; Actinopteri; Cyprinodontiformes; Rivulidae
Exons: 3
Source: RefSeq, a predicted model, not a curated record
AGCUGAGGUAACUGAUGGGGCCCUCGAAACUCAAAAGACAAUCACUGUCAAAUUUUCUGAGUUUGAGUCAUCAGUGGCCAGUAUCAAAGCCAAAGUGGUUGAUGCUCUUGGGCAGGAUGAGCUAAUUGUCCUCAUUGACAGUCACUACAAUAAAAWUGUGGACUGUGAAGGAACAAGAGGUCCUGCUUUCUGGAAGCAGCACGCAAGAAAAAUAUAUGCUGUGCCAGAGGGACAACACCAAAGGCUAAGAGGGACUAAAAUAAGGAGAGAAAGUCACCAAGAGGACACUGGAUUGCCAAGUGUAUUGGACCAAAUAGAGGAGGUCGUUCUUGCAUUACAGGGUCUGCAGGACAUCUCAAAAACCUUGAAAGACCUUGUUCAGUUUGUGCAGGCCAAUCAGCACACAGCACUGUGCCUUAACGAGAAUCAGGCUGCAGCUGUGAGAGCUGCUUUUGCUUGCAUCAUAUGCAAAGGUUAUUUUAUUGAUUUUAGGUUGCUAUGCAGAAUAUUAUUUUGAUGAUUGUGUUAAGUAUU